UACGUAGGCAGCAAGCGUUGUUCGGAAUUACUGGGCGUAAAGAGUGUGUAGGCGGUGUUCUAAGUUUGUCGUGAAAUCUCCCGGCUUAACUGGGAGGGUGCGGCGAAAACUGGAAUGCUAGAGGGUGGGAGAGGUAAGCGGAAUUCCUGGUGUAGCGGUGAAAUGCGUAGAUAUCAGGAGGAACACCUGUGGUGUAGACAGCUUACUGGACCAUUUCUGACGCUGAGACACGAAAGCGUGGGUAGCAAACAGG
Molecule: ribosomal RNA, 253 nt
Filed under: uncultured bacterium
Lineage: Bacteria
Description: partial 16S ribosomal RNA
Rfam family: Bacterial small subunit ribosomal RNA
Source: RNAcentral